UUAGCUAUAGAUUGGCUACAAAUUUGCUACUAAUUAGCUACUAAAUGAGUAACAAUUUUUAAGUGUUGCAAGUUUUAUUCUCAAAUGUUACUGAAAUCAUUUAGUAACACGGGCUUUACCUAACAUUUGUCAAAUGUUACAAGAUCUAAAUAGUAACAGUUGUUUUUGAUUUAGUUACAAUUUUGAAGUGUUACUAAAUCUUAUAUAUGUAGUAGUGUUCCCCUUCGGUAACAUCUAGUUUACAUACUCUUACGAGUAUCUAUUAUGUGCUCAACCUGUAUUUAUUCACAGCUUAAUUUAUUUUAGUUAAAAGGGUAAGUACAAUGCAUAAGGUUUAAACUUUCAACUAAUUUUUAUCAAAAUCCAAAAAAUUUCACUUCUAUUUGAUCAAGCCUGUAAUACUCAGAUGCUACUAACUAUAUGAUGCAGACCACAAUAUAAAGGUUUUAAAGGUCUCUGCAACAACAUUGUAUGUUAAAUAUGGUAUUGACAAAGGAUAAGCUAUGGCUUAUGCAAUUAGUUUGUUAGUGAGUUGUUACUUGUGCAGCAAGUUAGUUUGUUAGUGAGCGGUCAUUUUUUCAAAAGGAGCAAUAAUUCCAUUAAAUCUGCAUAUAAUGUCUUAAUGGAAGUCAGCAAUGUGGGGGUGCAGCUUCCCGGUUAAAAUCUGUGGCAUAAAUGUAUUCCGUUAAAAAAGUGGCAGUGUCUGCAUGUAAUGUCUUAGUGUAAAGUGGCGAGAAGGAAGGAAGGGGAGGUUGUUUUGUGGUGCGAGGUAGUUGGUCAAAUAGAGGCACGGUUAAGAGUAGCAUUUGAUAUGGUGGGAGGAUUUUGGCAGUGGGGUUUUAAGGUUUAUGCUGAAUUUUGUGUGUGGCUGUUACUGUUUGCGGAUUAGGUAGUGUACGUAUGCAAGUGCUGGUGGUUCUUUUGUUAUCUGAGAAGCUUUGGUUCGGUACGGUUUAGUCUCUCUGGCUGAUUGCUGCAUAUAUCUGUGUUUCUGGUUGGUUUUGGAGUGGUGAAUUGGCAGCAGAAGGUGAUGAAUUGAUGACAUUAUUUGAACCUGUAAUCUUGCAAUUUCAUGGGGUUGUAGUGGAACAACAGCAUCUGUUUUGUUAGGAAUUGGUAGAUAUACGGCCAGGCGUUACAUUUUUUCUUUACUGAAAGAUGUUGUUUUUUAGUUCGUGGAGUUUGUUAGCUUUUGGUGAUAAUAGUGAGCAUUUUAUUUGUUUCAAUUGGAGCUUGGUUGUACUUUGUAAACUGGUUGUAAUUUCGCUCAGUUCUUGCACAUCUGGUUAAAUGAUUAUAGAUAGCACAGACUAUAAAUAGUUGUGAUAUCAUAAGACAAUGUGCAAAUCAGAUUUCAUUCAAUACAAUUGUUAAAUUUCUUCUUAUGUCAAGUUUGUUUUAAAAUUACCUCA
This 1412-nucleotide long non-coding RNA is filed under the name Medicago truncatula (barrel medic). RNAcentral describes it as "long non-coding RNA (MTRU_LNC000682)". The record is from RNAcentral. Lineage: Eukaryota; Viridiplantae; Streptophyta; Magnoliopsida; Fabales; Fabaceae.